CCUACGGGAGGCAGCAGUAGGGAAUUUUCGUCAAUGGGCGCAAGCCUGAACGAGCGAUGCCGCGUGAGUGAAGAAGGCCUUCGGGUCGUAAAGCUCUGUUGCGGGGGAAAAAAGGCAGCAUCAGGAAAUGGGUGCUGACUGAUGGUGCCCCGCCAGAAAGUCGCGGCUAACUACGUGCCAGCAGCCGCGGUAAUACGUAGGUGGCGAGCGUUAUCCGGAAGGAUUGGGCGUAAAGGGUGCGCAGGCGGUCCUGCAAGUCUGGAGUGAAACGCAUGAGCUCAACUCAUGCAUGGCUUUGGAAACUGGAGGACUGGAGAGCAGGAGAGGGCGGUGGAACUCCAUGUGUAGCGGUAAAAUGCGUAGAUAUAUGGAAGAACACCAGUGGCGAAGGCGGCCGCCUGGCCUGUUGCUGACGCUGAGGCACGAAAGCGUGGGGAGCAAAUAGGAUUAGAUACCCCUGUAGUC
Molecule: ribosomal RNA, 465 nt
Filed under: uncultured bacterium
Lineage: Bacteria
Description: partial 16S ribosomal RNA
Rfam family: Bacterial small subunit ribosomal RNA
Source: RNAcentral